AUGAAUGUACGUGGAGAGAACGUGAACAAGUUAUGCUAAGCAUAAUGCAUCCUACGAAUCCCUUAAUGUUAAGAGAAUGUUCUUAGUAAUUAAUGGGUACAUAUUUGUAGUGAAGAUAAAAAAACGUCGCCGAAGGAGCAAGUAGUUUAGCUAUGAAUCUCUCAGGCAAAAAGACUCGUACAGGACG
This 187-nucleotide non-coding RNA is filed under the name Ureibacillus manganicus. RNAcentral describes it as "Lysinibacillus manganicus Glycine sequence". It matches the Rfam family "Glycine riboswitch aptamer". From Rfam's summary of the family: This family represents the bacterial glycine riboswitch. The record is from RNAcentral. Lineage: Bacteria; Bacillati; Bacillota; Bacilli; Caryophanales; Caryophanaceae.